Long non-coding RNA from Spea bombifrons (plains spadefoot toad), 198 nucleotides. RefSeq lists it as uncharacterized. NCBI's taxonomy places the organism in Eukaryota, Metazoa, Chordata, Amphibia, Anura, Pelobatidae. The record is from RefSeq and is a predicted model, not a curated record. The transcript is spliced from 2 exons.
GUUCUGGCUAGAGUUGUCAUCUUCCCAAAGGACCCCUGUGGUGAUUCAUGGCCUAACAGAUAAGGACCCUGAUGGAGGGGUUUUCCAUCACCUUUACCCCACCAUAACUUAUUGGCACAUCAAAGAUGGGAACCAAUUCUUGGAAAAUGUGUCAUAUAAUUGGCCAUGUGGUCAGAGGGGUGUUUUCUUGAAACAGAA